AAAAAAAAAAGUAAAUUAAGUUAAGGACAAGUGGCAAGUUGCUAGCCACUUCACUAAAAAAAAAUGAAAAAGAAAAGGAAGAAAGAAGAAAAGACUAGAAGAGAAGAAGAACCCAUUUCUUCAAUCCUCCUUCCUCUGCCGUGAACCAAAACAAAAUCCCUUUCUCCAUCUUUUCUUUUCUACACCAAAAUUCCUUCAAAUUUUCAUCUCCAAUCAAUUACCCAUCUUCUCCCAACACAUUUUCAAAGUAGAAUUUGAAGAAAAGAAAUGAACUCAAAGAGAAAAUUCAAGAUUGAGGGAGAGUGAAUAGUAACCAAGGGUUUGAAAAUUUAAAGGUAUGUUAGGGGUUUUGAUGUAGGGAUGUUUCUUAUUAUUUUUAUGUGACUAUUUGUGAGAAAUAUUGUAUUAAUAUGAUUUAUUGGUUUAGUUUUUUCAUGAAGAAGAAGUGGAAGGAAAGAGUGAAAACUCUAAAGGAAAAGGAAAAGAAAAGGAAGAUUAGGAAAUUUUAAGCUUGUGGAAGAUUUUGGAAGGUUAAGGUUGUGGAUCCAAGUAGCAGUAAAUCAAGAUCUGCAUCAACCCAGCCAGAGUUACAUCAUUAACUAUCUUGGGGUAUAUUUUGUAAAUUUUUAUAUGAAUUUGAUUUUAGAAAUAUGGCAUGUACAUAAAGUUUUAGAGAUGAAGUUAUAUAUGGUUGGUUUAAAUAUAUUUGAAGAUUUUAAUUUUGAUGUAAAUAUGGAUUAUUAGUAUAAGUUUUAUGUUGAGAUU
Molecule: long non-coding RNA, 765 nt
Organism: Manihot esculenta (cassava)
Lineage: Eukaryota; Viridiplantae; Streptophyta; Magnoliopsida; Malpighiales; Euphorbiaceae
Exons: 2
Source: RefSeq, a predicted model, not a curated record